ACUCAAAGGAAUUGACGGGGGCCCGCACAAGCGGCGGAGCAUGUGGCUUAAUUCGAUGCAACGCGAAGAACCUUACCAAGGCUUGACAUGCAGGGAAAUCUCGUGGAGACACGGGGUCCGUAAGGGUCCUGCGCAGGUGGUGCAUGGCUGUCGUCAGCUCGUGUCGUGAGAUGUUGGGUUAAGUCCCGCAACGAGCGCAACCCUCGUCCUAUGUUGCCAGCGAGUCGUGUCGGGGACUCAUAGGAGACUGCCGGGGUCAACUCGGAGGAAGGUGGGGACGACGUCAAGUCAUCAUGCCCCUUACGUCUUGGGCUGCACACAUGCUACAAUGGCCGGUACAAAGGGCUGCGAUGCCGCGAGGUGGAGCGAAUCCCAAAAAGCCGGUCUCAGUUCGGAUCGGGGUCUGCAACUCGACCCCGUGAAGUCGGAGUCGCUAGUAAUCGCAGAUCAGCAAUGCUGCGGUGAAUACGUUCCCGGGCCUUGUACACACCGCCCGU
Molecule: ribosomal RNA, 497 nt
Filed under: uncultured bacterium
Lineage: Bacteria
Description: partial 16S ribosomal RNA
Rfam family: Bacterial small subunit ribosomal RNA
Source: RNAcentral